AAUUUAAGUGUGGUAUGCUGCGAAAAGAUAAUUAUCUUGGGUGGACCAAUAUGGCCGACCAAUUGACACAACAUUUUUGUUACUGUUGAGACUUGAGAAACCUUUAGCAAAACACUACUACAUGGUUGAGCGAACUCCCUUUUUUUUUGGUGUGUGUGUGGAUAAAAUAAGAUAGCAGGGGUCAGAAACUCAAUUAUCUGACUGCAUGUCGAAAUUUCUUUUUCGGUUAGUGUGGUUAGUCAAUUUUUUAGGAUAUCAUGAUAGUCAUUGAAAUGCAAUGGUUUGUACCUUUUUUUUAAAAAAAAUAUCAAGAGUGCUUUUGGUCAAGGAAUCCUUAUUGUACCUUUUUUUUAAAAAAAAUAUCAAGAGUGCUUUUGGUCAAGGAAUCCUUAUGAAGGUUGAGAAAAUACUAAGAUUGUUAGAUAUGUGGAUGAAGAUUGGACUAGACCUCGAUCUGAUAGAUGGUCUAUGCACACUCAUUGUGUAUUGAGUGGUGGAAAUUUGAUCUCUUGAAGAAAAAAAGUAAUUAUUGUCUGGUCAACUGGAGGGGUUGAAUAUAGAGCAAUGGUUUCAGCAACAUAUGGAGCUUAUGCAUUUCAAACAGUUGCUUCAAGACCUGUAAUUAAAAAAAUAGCAUAGUUGACAUUGAAUUAUGACACAACUGGCUAUAUUUCUUCUAGUACAUUGUUUCGUAAAUAGACCAAGACAUUGUGUUCAAUUACCAUCUAUCGUAAGAAAAUACUGUUUUAACUUAAUUCCAUGAGC
RNAcentral lists this long non-coding RNA (765 nucleotides) under Nicotiana benthamiana. Its description in RNAcentral is "long non-coding RNA (NBEN_LNC020959)". Lineage: Eukaryota; Viridiplantae; Streptophyta; Magnoliopsida; Solanales; Solanaceae. The record is from RNAcentral.